The sequence is a regulatory RNA element, 121 nucleotides long. It matches the Rfam family "Ribosomal protein L20 leader". Rfam says of the family: This family is a putative r-protein leader autoregulatory structure found in B. subtilis and other low-GC Gram-positive bacteria. It is located in the 5' untranslated regions of mRNAs encoding initiation factor 3 followed by ribosomal proteins L35 and L20 (infC-rpmI-rplT). A Rho-independent transcription terminator structure that is probably involved in regulation is included at the 3' end. The record is from Rfam.
UGAAUUAAGCAGAAGUUCCCGCUUCUCACCCAUGCUUAGAGCCUCUGGGUUUAGACGUUAGUUAAUUUGCUGAUGAACUUUCACGCUGCGGGUGCUUUUGUGCCCGCAGUUUUUUUGCGUU